RNAcentral lists this unclassified non-coding RNA (287 nucleotides) under Hevea brasiliensis (rubber tree). The record is from RNAcentral. Lineage: Eukaryota; Viridiplantae; Streptophyta; Magnoliopsida; Malpighiales; Euphorbiaceae.
GAAGGUUCACAUAUGGGUGACAAAUGUAGCGUGAAACGGUCAGUAAUUGGCCGCCAUUGCCGGAUAGGUUCCAAUGUGAAGAUCGCUAAUUCAGUCGUCAUGGAUCAUGUUACCAUUGCUGACGGUUGUUCAAUUCAAGGUUCGGUUAUCUGCAGCAAUGUACAACUUCAGGAGCGCGCUGUUUUAAGAGAUUGUCAAGUAGGAGCAGGUUUUGUGGUGACUGCUGCUUGUGAGUACAAAGGAGAGGCCUUGGCUAGAAAAGAAAAAUGAAGUUAGGAAGAUGCGUU